AAGGCGAAUGGUGAAGAAGCAUUUUGGCCAUGUCAAGAAGAAGUCGAAGAGAAGUUCCUCUGGUUCUUUAUGCUCAUCAAGCCUGAUAGAGAGCAAGAAAAUGACAACUCACGAAAGGUACCUUGUUCAAAGUGUGAAAAGUAAGUAUCAAAAGAACCGCCAAAAAAAAAAAUGAUGAACUGGAAAUUGCAUGCCUCGUGAAAAUAACGCUUAAAGAUUUCAAUACGAGGCAAAAAGAUGGUUUGAGGAUGUUUUUAGUUGAGACCAAGAAAGUGUGGGAAAAGGAAUCAGGAAUUUGACAAGUGGAGCAACCAACCACAACGUCAAAAAUAUCAAUCACCUCUGCGGGAAACAUGGGAAAAGCUGCAUGCCUCAAAUCUCCCAACUUAAACGCCAGCCCCAGCGUCGGAGAUAAAUUUCAAUAGCUUGAUGCCCUUUGCCUGCUUUAGCAUCACAAUCCUGUCCCAACAAAUUUUGAUUCCAAGUAAACAUAAGAUUGAUACACAUGCUGUUAUCUCCUAGGUUCAUAACAGGUUGCUUUAUGCUGUGAACUUGUAUUCAAUCGCCUAAUUCUGGUGUUCUUCACAAACAGGGGAUCGAUGAGUCUUCACCCUGAUUUCCUGCAAUCGCCAGGAGUAACAUAUUUCUUGAAAUUGACCAGAAACUGAAUUCCUCUAGCGUCUACAUGCUAUCCUCCACCAAUAAAAAUUGUCCAUAUAUGGCAUUUAUGUCUUCUUGAACAUUCAACUCUGUCUCAUAAGUCAUGAAAUGAUUUUGGGAUAACGAAUAGCUUGGUAUUUGGGAGGAAGUCAUUUUAGCGCUCAAAUUAUUGCUGUAAAUGUACACGGGGAACCGAGAGACGGGGAGGGUUUGGUGUUGUUCAUCUUUGAUUCUUCGAACUGCACGUAAAAUGAUUGUUAUAUAUGAUAAUUGCAUUAAGUUACAUGUAAGCUCGAAUAAGCCCAUUUUCUGAGCAAAUAACUGCCCAACACAGCUACUUAUAUAACCUAAAAUAUGUAGAGAAAAUCAAUGUUGAGAAUUAUCUUUUUUCGCAUGCAGAAAACCUUUAACUCAAAAUAUCUUGGACUUCAACCUUCCAUAGUGUCACAAAAAAGAAAAAAAAAAUUCUGUAAUCACUUCACGGUUAUUAAGAUAACUGUGCAUGGUGAACCAUGAGCAUCAAAAAUUCCAACCAAACCAAUACUGAGCCAAAGAACUACCUCCAAAUCAGCAGCCUUUUCCAACUCGUGUUGGUUCUGAAGGCUACACUCGAAAGUGAACGAGAACUACCUCCAAAUAAGCAGCCUUUCCCAACUUGUGUAGCUUCUGACAGUUCUACUCAAAAGUAAACGAGAACUAAAUAUCAUACAAACAUCAAAAAAAUUCACCAAGCAAAUGCACUACUAAGGUAAAUAAUAAAGACAAAGAUUGCUGAAACAUGCAAUCUCUGACAAAAAGAUCAAUGAGAUACAAAGAGAAAAAAAUUCAUGAGUUUACAUAGAUUGCGCUGUAGGACAUGGUGGAAGUACAAGACAGUUGUCCAAAGACAGAAUUGUACCCUCUGAGGUAGAACAUUCAAUUGUAUGGCAACUCUGCAAUUCCAUGUCUAUAACACUAUCAUGGUUCAUAGUGUUACAAGUCCUGAAUGCACAGACCUGAUUAUUGAGGCAAAAAGUCACAGCUUAGUAUAAUAAUCUGUUCUUUGAUACAUUAUUGAGUUUCCACUCAAGAAGUGAUCAUCGAGUAGAAGUAAUUUUGUUUGUGGAAGUCAUUCAAUGAAUCAGUAUCCAUGUUUCAAUUUCACUCUAGAACAGGAAAGCCAAUUACUAAUAUGUGCACUUAUGAUGUUUUUAUUUCUUUUCAGCUUUCUUUGGUUCUUUAAAAUGAACUUGCCUUCUGCUUCAUCACUUGGAAAUCUAGUGGCCAUUCAUAAAAUUUUAUCUACUUUCUAUUCUCCUCCUUGAAAUUUGAGAUUUCAAAUGUCAGAAGCCCUUUUUCAGCCCUUUGACCUCAAAAAACUGGUAAUUUCUUCUGGUUAACUGCAAAUGCUUAUACCCAAAAUUAUUCGAUACUAAAGUAACAAUUUACUAAUACUGUGAUAUAUCUCAUGCCGGCUGCCUUUAUGUUGGACUAUCAUAGUCCUAUAGGUGUCCUAUGCCACCUAAGGGCCUGACACCUAUCUAGAAGCAGUGUCGAGAAGUCUCAAAUGCAUGCUUGGACCAACUAUAACAUGGAAGUAAAUGAAACAAGUAAAACUAAACCUGCCAUUAAUUGUCAAGCCAAGGGCUAACCUAGGUUGGCUGUAUGGCAAUUGAUUAACUCAAAAGGCUAUGCGAGAAAGAAUUGCAAAAAGUUUAGGAAAAGGGGAAAAAGAAACAUAGAUUAAGACGUUCUCAAAAGGAUAAAAGCUCCUUUCUGAUGUAGAUUUACUUCCUGGUAAGUGAAUAGAUUAUAAAAUGAUAUGUGCAUGUACACAAUGAUAGAAUCUUAUAGAAUGCAUUAAUAUGGACUGUAAAUAUGGAUACUUCUAUAACAUAACUCAACACCAGCACAAUUUUUUCAAAGAAAUGACAUGGCAUAUCAGGAAGAAACUAUAUCUUAACUCUAUAGCAAACAAAUAGCCUUAACACGAUCUGCAGUUUCCCACGCAUUUUUUAGAGAUAAGGCUGCAGAACACCUUUAUACAUCUCCUCAACAUGAGAACUUCACUAGCUAACUAGUCAAGGAGGAAUUCAACCAAUAUAACUGGUAAAGAAGAUGGGAUAAGUUUCAUACAUUUGGGAAUUUUGAUAACUAUUAAAAAAUAAAACACAGCAAUUAUGCCCAAACACAAGAAGCACAACCAAAGAACUAGGUAAAUUACGCCAUCCAAGAUGAGAUAAUUACUGUAUAUAGAACUGAACUACAAGAAUACAUCCUGAUUUUUCUCUAAUUAUUCCCUACUAAUUCAAGAGGUACUCCUCAACAUCCACGGGAUUCAUGACACCAAAAAUGUGAGAAAAGUUUACAGCUUUUUUACAAUUUCCUCAGACCAUAGUAUGAUUCCUGGCAUGAUAUAAUUGAUAUACUAGCAUGAGAAAAAUUAACAAAUAUCAAACUCCAACUGCUAAAGCCAAGCUUUUUUCAAUUAUAGUAUGAUAUAAUUGAUAUAUCUAUCUCUUUCCUUUCUUCCCUACUAAAUUUAAACUAAUAAACCCAUUUUGAAAUUCAAUUGGAAUUGAUAACAUCGAAUCUGUUCUCAAAUGUGUAUUGCUGGUAUAUUGUCCAUUUUUUAAAAGACUUAUCAUCGGUCUUCCAAAUUAUUUGAUUCCUUUGCUUAUAACCAGAAAAUUUUCAUUCAUAUUCCAAUUACUUAAUAAUUACACUUUGCUUGCCUUACGGAAUCAUAGAAAUCUAGACAUUUAAACUGCCUUGUUAAAUUACCAAAAAUCCCAACCACUCAAAGCUUGCCUUCAUAAAUCACAAGAAGAAACCUCAGCACGAUGGGAUUAAUUGCUAAAAUUCAGUUUUAAUUCCAAAACCAAACUUAAAAUUCUUGCUGCAUCCAAUGCAUCUUAAGUUGUAGCUAGCUAAAAAAGCUAAGAAAUAACAUGGCUUUAUUUUUAAAAUUGGACAGUGGAUCAAAAUGGAGGCAAGAAAUUUAUGCAAGUGCAUGUAUCCAUCGUACCAAAACAUAACUAGAUAGAGGAUGGUUAUCAAGUAAUUCAAGCAAGAGCCUCUAAGACUUUCAGGAGUGAGUGCGAAGGAUGAAAAGCAUCCAGCGCAAGUGCUUAUUUGUCCAUUUCAACAUUAAUGGGAAUAUCUAUGUGUAAACUUUAACAGAAAAGGAAAAAAUGAACAAAAAACUCUCCUUUUCUUUAUUUUCCACACACUAAAUAUGCUUACAAGGUAGGCAUAUAUAGGACAACCCUAUCAUAGUUCUGCCACCACUUAAGGUAAUAGAACCAUGAUUUUAGGGAUUACAUAAUCAACUCAUAUCCUAUCUAUUCAAACUUGAUUGAUCAUAAGCAAUAAAAUCCCAUAAUUAUGGGAGGUAAUUAUGGAAGAUAAUAUCUCCCAUAAUCAUAGGAGAUAAUAUCUUCGACACCCCCCUCAAGUUGGUGCGUAUAUAUUUAUCAUGUCCAACUUGCUUGUAAGAAGUUCAAAAUUUGGUCUGAGGAGUCCUUUGGUGAGAAUGUCAGCUAUUUGCUGAGCUGAUGGAACGAAUGGCAUGCAGAUAAUUCCUCCUUCAAGUUUCUCUUUUAUGAAGUGGCGGUCAAUCUCAAUAUGUUUGGUUCUAUCAUGUUGCACAGGAUUAUGAGCUAUGCUAAUUGCCGCCUGGUUAUCACAAUAGAGCCUCAUUGGAAGUUCAAUAGGUCUUUUCAGCUCCUCUAAAACUCUCUUCAGCCAUAACAUCUCACACACACCAUGAGCCAUAGCUCGGUACUCUGCCUCUGCACUACUACGAGCUACAACACUUUGUUUCUUACUUCUCCAAGUAACCAAAUUGCCCCAUACAAAGGUACAAUACCCGAGGUUGAUCUUCUAUCAAUGACUGAUCCUGCCCAAUCAGCAUCUGUAUAAGCUUCAAUGGUCUUUCGAUCUCCUCUUUUAAAGAACAAUCCCUUUCCUGGAGUACUUUUUAAGUACCUCAGAAUUCGAUAUACUGCAUCAAGGUGCUCUUCAUAUGGAGAAUGCAUAAACUGGCUCACAACACUCACUGAAAAAGCUAUAUCAGGACGAGUGUGAGCCAAGUAAAUUAGCUUGCCUACUAACUUUUGGUAUCGAGCAGUAUCAACUGGUGUUCCAUCUUUUAUAUCUGCUAACUUGUGAUUCGGAUCCAUAGGAGUGUCUGCAGGUCGACAUCCACUCAUCCCUGUUUCCUUUAAAAGAUCCAAAACAUACUUGCGUUGGGACACAACAAUGCCCUUCUUGGACCGAGCUACCUCCAUCCCUAAGAAAUAUCGUAGUGUUCCCAAAUCUUUGAUUUCAAAGCUAGAAGCAAGACUUUUCUUCAGCCGUUCCAUCUCAAUUAAGUCAUCUCCUGUGAGGAUGAUAUCAUCCACGUACACAAUGAGUACUGCUAUCUUCCCGUCCUUGGAGUGUUUAACAAACAUGGUGUGAUCACUCUGAGCUUGGGUAUAGCCUUGAUUCUUUACCGACCUAGUAAAUUUUUCAAACCAGGCCCUAGGAGAUUGUUUGAGACCAUAUAACGAUUUUCUUAGCUUGCAAACUCUAGACUGAAACUUCCCUUCAAAUCCAGGGGGAGACUCCAUGUACACCUCUUCCUCCAGAUCACCAUUUAAAAAUGCAUUCUUGACAUCAAGUUGUUGGAGCGGCCAAUCAAGGUUUACUGCUAUUGAGAGAAGCACCCUAACAGUGUUUAAUUUUGCCACUGGAGCAAAAGUUUCAAGAUAAUCGAUCCCGUAGGUUUGAGUGAACCCUUUAGCCACCAAUCGAGCUUUGUACCGUUCCAAUGUCCCAUCGGAAUUAUACUUGAUGGUAAAGACCCAUUUACAUCCUACUGUCCUUUUCCCUUGUGGCAGGUUUGUUACUUCCCAUGUUUGAUUCUUCUCAAGAGCAUACAUCUCUUCUUCAAUAGCCUUUCUCCACUCUGGAACUUGUAAUGCUUCCUGUACAUUCUUUGGAAUUUCCACAGAAGAAAGUUGUGAAGUAAAUGUCAAGAAGGUAGGGGAUAACUUUUCAUAAGAGACAUAGUUAGUCAUAGGGUGUUUGGUACAAGAACGCACUCCCUUUCGAAGUGCAAUAGGAAGAUCCAAAUCAGCAAUCUUUGAAUCAGAGGAAACUUUAUCUAAUGACUCAAAAACAUUAAAUUCUGUCCUAGGUUCGGAUUCCUUGUCGUGAAGAGAAGGGGGAGCUUUAUCUUUUCCUCGAUGAUUUUUCCGGACAUAGGUUUUCAAGGUUUUUUCAGUUACAUUCCCAUCUCUUUCACUAAGAGAAUUCGACUCUGUUAUUGGCACUAAAGACAAGAGAUCCUCUUCUAAUCCCUGAUCAAUUUUUUCACGUUUUUCAAAAUCCUUUUGACGGGCAAAUUGAAGAGUGUCAUUUGUUUUUUCAGGAUUAUUAUCUUGAAAAGAUUCUUGUUGAGGAAAUUGUGCUGCAGAUUCUUCUAAAAAAUCAGAAAAAUCAAUUCUCCUAUCAACAAAAUUUUGAUCAGGAAUUUGAUUUUCAAUACGAAAAACAUCAUCAUCUUCUACAAGUUCUUCUACAUGCCGAGUCCCCCCCUGAAGAGGAUCUCCAAAGAAAGGUUUAUCUUCAAAAAAUGUUACAUCCAUGGUUACAAACAUUUUUUUCGAAAUGGGGUCAAAGCAUUUAUACCCCUUUUGCGUGGGUGCAUAUCCAACAAAAAUGCAUUUUCUUGCUCGAGGGUCUAACUUACUUCGACCUUGUUCAUGAUUGUGAACAAAGGAUAUGCACCCAAACACCUUUAAUGAGACUUCAUAUGUUAAUCGAGACAUGGGAUAAAUGGUUUUGAAAAAAUUCAGAGGAGUUUGGAAAUUCAAGGUUCUUGAGGGCAUUCUGUUUAUGAGAUAUGUAGCAGUUAAAAUUGCUUCGCCCCAUAGAUAUUUAGGAACAUUUCUUGAAAAAAGUAAUGCCCUCGCCACUUCUAAAAGAUGUUUAUUUUUUCUUUCAGCUACCCCAUUCUGUUGUGGGGUAUCAUUGCAGGAGCUUUGAUGCACAAUCCCUUUUUCAAGAAAAAAACUUCCCAAAAUUUUAUUGAAAUAUUCUUUUCCAUUGUCACUCCGAACAAUUUUGACUUUUUCUUGAAAUUGUGUCAAAACCAUGCUGUAGAAUUUUUGAAACACACUUGCAACCUCUGAUUUCUCUCUUAACAAAUACACCCAACAAACUCUUGUGUGAUCAUCGAUGAAUGUAACAAACCAUUUUUUUCCAGAUGAAGUUGAAAUUCUAGAGGGACCCCAAACAUCAGUAUGUAAUAGAAAAAACGGUUUUGAGGGCUGAUAAGGAUGUAUAGAAAAUGUAGACCGAUGAUGUUUAGCCAAUUCGCAGAUUUCACAUUGAAAAGAAGAUGAAUCUUUAUUCUUAAACAAAUCUGGAAAUAAGUAUUUCAUGUAAUAAAAACUAGGAUGUCCUAGUCUAAAGUGCCAUAACAUAAUCUCUUUAUUACUAGUAAUAGAGACAGACCCGUAACAUGUGUUUUUGAUUGGUGUUGUCAUAUCUGAUCCAUCUUCAAGGAAGUAAAGUCCCCCAUUUUCUCUAGCACAUCCAAUCAUCCUCCCCGUGGUCAGUUCCUGAAACUCACAAAAAGAGGGGAAAAAAUUAAUCCGACACAUGAGAUCCCUAGUUAAUUUACUUAUGGACAGCAAAUUGCAUGAUAACUUUGGAACAUGAAGAACUCUAUGAAGUGUUAGAGUAGGAGAGAUGACAACGGAACCUAUGCCAGCUAUGACGGAUAAUGAUCCGUCAGCAACCUUGACCCUUUUAUUGCCUGCACAUGGACUGUAGGUAGAAAAUAAUUGUGACACACUAGUCAUAUGGUCAGUGGCCCCAGAAUCAAUAACCCAUAUAACCCGUGGACAAGAUGCAUUUGAUGUUUUACAUGAAAGAGCAAUAGUAAAAGGUUUACCAUUUUUAGCAAAAGAACAGAAAGGAGUGAAGCUUUUUGGCUCAGUGACUGAAAAUUGUGGAGACUUAAAGAGUUUGUACAGUUGGCUUAAUUGUUCCUUUGUGAAGGCUGGUGUCUCAAAGUCAGUUUGUUGCUUUUGAGAAUCCUCAUUCACAGUCUGCAACACCUUGCUAUCACCUCCAUUUUUCUUCUUGAAAUUCGAUGGUUUCCCAUGUAAUUUCCAGCAUGUGUCCUUUGUGUGCCACGACUUUUUACAGUGUUCACACCAAGGCUUCCUUCUUUUAUCCCCGUCCAAAUCUGUCCCCUUAGAAACCAAUGCUGAAGUCUCAACUUCAUCCUCUGCCUUGGACUUUGGUGAUGACUUCAGCAUCACCUUACGCCUUGAUUCUUCUCUUCUGACUUCAGAAAAUACUUCACGAAUGGAGGGGAGAGGCUUCCUGCCCAAAAUACGACCUCGCACCUCAUCGAGUUCUUGAUUUAGUCCAGCCAAGAAGACAUAGACUCUGUCGUUCUCCUCCCGUUUCUUGUAUCGAACACUGUCUGCACGGCAGUCCCAUUCAUCCUCAUAACAAAGAUCCAAUUCCUGCCAUAAAGUUACCAUCUGAUUGUAAUAGGUUGUAACAUCUCUAUCUUCUUGUCUUGAUUUCCACAAUUUCGUCUUGAGAUUGAAAAUUUGAGACGAAUUCUCUAUAUCGGAAUACAUAUCCCGGACAGCGUCCCACACAUCCUUGGCUGUGGGCAGAAAUAAGUGUGGCUUUCCUAUCGCUGGUUCCAUAGAGUUUAUCAACCAAGCGAUAACUAGAGAGUUCUCUGAAUGCCAUCUCUUCAAAUUGGGAUCUUCAGCAGCUGGUUGUUGAAUUUCUCCAGUAAGGUGGCCGAGUUUACCUCUGCCAUCGAUAGCCAGCUUUACAGAUUGAGCCCAUUCCAGAUAAUUGGAACCAUUUAAUUUAUGAACGGUUAUUUGUAGGGAAGAAGAAUUUGAAGCGGAGUAAUCUGUAGUUUGGAUAACUACUGAAGACGAGGAUGAGUCUUCUCUUGUGUGAGCAGUCGAUCCAGUCAUGGCUGCUCGGUAGUUCAUGGCAGGAAUUGGUACAGAGCCGGAGCUCUGAUACCAUGUAAACUUUAACAGAAAAGGAAAAAAUGAACAAAAAACUCUCCUUUUCUUUAUUUUCCCACACACUAAAUAUGCUUACAAGGUAGGCAUAUAUAGGACAACCCUAUCAUAGUUCUGCCACCACUUAAGGUAAUAGAACCAUGAUUUUAGGGAUUACAUAAUCAACUCAUAUCCUAUCUAUUCAAACUUGAUUGAUCAUAAGCAAUAAAAUCCCAUAAUUAUGGGAGGUAAUUAUGGAAGAUAAUAUCUCCCAUAAUCAUAGGAGAUAAUAUCUUCGACACUAUGUAUAUUGAUGAAUGAAGGGACAUGUGCUAAAAGUUCAAGGAAUCAAACAGUUCUUGUGAAAACUCAAAAUUUUAGGACAUCAUCAAGAAGACAGCAUGACUGAUGUCAUAUAGGAAUAUCCCUCUUUCCUAAAUUAGAUUUCUUCCUUUUAAAUGGUCCAUCACAAAACAAUAUCUAUUUCUCCUUAAAUUACAAAAUAUAUUUUCCUCUCCUUAAAACUAAGCUGAUUAAUACAUUGAAUCCACACUUUUUCCAGAAUCCAAACUCUCUCAAUAGUUGCAUCCAGUCAGAACUAACAAACAUGAAGUAUAAGAUAAGAAAAAUCUCAGUUGUUGAGGAAGUAAAUCGAUUCUUUUGAAUAUCAAUGAAAGAAACCACAUAACUUAGAUACAUCUCACUUACUGUAAUAGGAGACAAAGGAAACCCAUAACUUGAAAAUCUAUCUGAAAACCAGUAUAUGGAAUGUCUUCAAUUCUAUAUGAAUUACACUAGCCUAGAUUUUCUUGCUAGAUUUACUAUGCCAGGUUAAGCAAAGAGCUCUAUUACCAGCUCUAUAUUGAAAUGUAAGAGGCAAAGAGUUCUAAUCCAUCUAUUACCAGCUCUAUAUAAACCAAACCAAGUAAUUUAGUACAACAAACUCAAGACAUGCAAUUAUGACAAGAAAGAAGAGAAAGUAUGUUGCAAUUCCAAAUAAGAGCCAAAGAAAAGCAACUCUCAAGAAAUGUAGAGAUUGCUUGUUCAGAAAAGCAAAACAGCUUUCAACCUUGUGCGAUGUUGAAGUGGGUGUAAUCGUCCAGGAUCAAGAGAAAAAGGAUGUUUUUGUCUGGCCAUCACACCAUGAAGUUGAAGAAAAGCUUAUGAGAUUCCUAAAUGUACCGGAUAUUGAUAGGACAGGAAAUUUUCUACACAUGAAAGCUUCCUUACAGGAACAGUGAGCAAGAUUAGUUGAUCACACAAGGAAAGCUCACGAGAAGAAUGAUAAGAAAGAAAGGGAAUACCUCACGCAUAAACUCAUGAAAGGUAAGAUUACUAUCAAUGAACUUGAUAUGAUGCAAACAAAUGGAUUGAUUCAAUUGAUGCUUGAUAAGAUGAACCAGUGCAACAGAAGGAUCGCACAACUGGACAUGUUAGAAGAACAGGAGAACCAGUCACUUUCAACAGCCAAUCAACAUCUUCCCUCUCUUGUUCAGAUGAGAGGACAGAAUAAAGCUGGUGGAGUUUGGCGAGUGGCGUGAAUGCAAUUUUCUCAGCUCCAGAAUUGAUUGAAAGCU
This 10258-nucleotide long non-coding RNA is filed under the name Coffea arabica (coffee). RNAcentral describes it as "long non-coding RNA (CARA_LNC003969)". The record is from RNAcentral. Lineage: Eukaryota; Viridiplantae; Streptophyta; Magnoliopsida; Gentianales; Rubiaceae.